This 499-nucleotide ribosomal RNA is filed under the name uncultured Gammaproteobacteria bacterium. Its description in RNAcentral is "bacterial SSU rRNA". It matches the Rfam family "Bacterial small subunit ribosomal RNA", at positions 340 to 831 of the family's 1533-position model. The record is from RNAcentral. Lineage: Bacteria; Pseudomonadati; Pseudomonadota; Gammaproteobacteria.
UACGGGAGGCAGCAGUGGGGAAUAUUGGACAAUGGGGGCAACCCUGAUCCAGCCAUGCCGCGUGUGUGAAGAAGGCCCGAGGGUUGUAAAGCACUUUUAGUGAGGAGGAAAGGCAAUUAGUUAAUACCUGAUUGCUGUGACGUUACUCACAGAAAAAGCACCGGCUAACUCUGUGCCAGCAGCCGCGGUAAUACAGAGGGUGCAAGCGUUAUUCGGAAUUACUGGGCGUAAAGCGCGCGUAGGCGGAUUGUUAAGUCAGUUGUGAAAGCCCUGGGCUCAACCUAGGAACGGCGAUUGAAACUGGCAGUCUAGAGUUUAGUAGAGGGAAGGGGAAUUUCUGGAGUAGCAGUGAAAUGCGUAGAUAUCAGAAGGAACAUCAGUGGCGAAGGCGCCUUCCUGGACUAAAACUGACGCUGAGGUGCGAAAGCGUGGGGAGCAAACGGGAUUAGAUACCCCGGUAGUCCACGCCCUAAACGAUGUCAACUAGCUGUUGGUCUUA